RNAcentral lists this ribosomal RNA (605 nucleotides) under uncultured bacterium. Its description in RNAcentral is "bacterial SSU rRNA". It matches the Rfam family "Bacterial small subunit ribosomal RNA", at positions 888 to 1498 of the family's 1533-position model. The record is from RNAcentral.
GCAAGAUUAAAACUCAAAGGAAUAGACGGGGACCCGCACAAGUGGUGGAGCAUGUGGUUUAAUUCGAAGAUACGCGAAGAACCUUACCUAGCCUUGACAUUGAUAGAAUCUUCCAGAGAUGGAGGAGUGCCUUUAGGGGAACUUGAAAACAGGUGCUGCACGGCUGUCGUCAGCUCGUGUCGUGAGAUGUUGGGUUAAGUCCCGCAACGAGCGCAACCCUCGUCACUAGUUACUAACAGUUAGGCUGAGGACUCUAGUGAGACUGCCUUCGUAAGGAGGAGGAAGGUGAGGACGACGUCAAGUCAUCAUGGCCCUUACGGCUAGGGCAACACACGUGCUACAAUGGUUAGGACAGUGAGAAGCGAUACCGCGAGGUGGAGCCAAUCUAUAAACCUAAUCUCAGUUCGGAUUGUAGUCUGCAACUCGACUACAUGAAGCUGGAAUCACUAGUAAUCGUAGAUCAGCUAUGCUACGGUGAAUACGCUCCCGGGUCUUGUACUCACCGCCCGUCACACCAUGGGAGUUGAUUUCACCCGAAGCGGGGAAGCUAAACUGGCUACCCUCCACGGUGGAAUUAGCGACUGGGGUGAAGUCGUAACAAGGUA